AUGGCUCAGGAUUAACGCUGGCGGCGUGCCUAAUACAUGCAAGUCGAAUGGUAUCAAUACCAUGGCGAACGGGUGAGUAACACGUAGGUAACCUGUCUUUAAGACGAGGAUAACCGUUGGAAACGACGGAUAAUACUCGAUAGGUGAUUUGAGGGCAUCCUUGGAUCAUUAAAGAUUUAUCACUUAGAGAGGGGCCUGCGGCGCAUUAGCUAGAUGGCGGUGUAAUGGACCACCAUGGCGAUGAUGCGUAGCCGGACUGAGAGGUUGAACGGCCACAAUGGAACUGAGAACGGUCCAUACUCCUACGGGAGGCAGCAGUAGGGAAUUUUCGGCAAUGGGCGAAAGCCUGACCGAAGCAACGCCGCGUGAACGAAGAAGUAUUUCGGUAUGUAAAGUUCUUUUAUCGGGGAAGAAAAAUAUUCAAAUUGACGGUACCUGAUGAAUAAGCUCCGGCUAACUACGUGCCAGCCGCUGC
RNAcentral lists this ribosomal RNA (475 nucleotides) under uncultured bacterium. RNAcentral describes it as "bacterial SSU rRNA". It matches the Rfam family "Bacterial small subunit ribosomal RNA", at positions 19 to 518 of the family's 1533-position model. The record is from RNAcentral.